Molecule: long non-coding RNA, 218 nt
Filed under: Mytilus galloprovincialis (Mediterranean mussel)
Lineage: Eukaryota; Metazoa; Mollusca; Bivalvia; Mytilida; Mytilidae
Source: RNAcentral
GUCCGUCGUCCGUCGUCGUCGUUAACUUUUUACAUUUUGAACUUCUUCUAGAGAACCACUGAAUGGAAUGAAACUAAACAUGGCAUGAAUGUUCCUUAUGAGGUGCUGACCAAGUGUUGUUACUUUGUAGCCGAUCCAUCAUCCAAGAUGGCCGCCAGCGGGGGACUUAGUUUAACAUAGGACCCUAUGGGAAAUGCAUACAAAUGACUUCCUCUAGA